Molecule: ribosomal RNA, 252 nt
Filed under: uncultured bacterium
Lineage: Bacteria
Description: partial 16S ribosomal RNA
Rfam family: Bacterial small subunit ribosomal RNA
Source: RNAcentral
UACGUAGGGUGCAAGCGUUAAUCGGAAUUACUGGGCGUAAAGCGUGCGCAGGUGGUUAUGUAAGACAGGUGUGAAAUCCCCGGGCUAACCUGGGAACUGCAUUUGUGACUGCAUAGCUAGAGUACGGUAGAGGGGGAUGGAAUUCCGCGUGUAGCAGUGAAAUGCGUAGAUAUGCGGAGGAACACCGAUGGCGAAGGCAAUCCCCUGGACCUGUACUGACGCUCAUGCACGAAAGCGUGGGGAGCAAACAGG